RNAcentral lists this ribosomal RNA (253 nucleotides) under uncultured bacterium. RNAcentral's name for it is "partial 16S ribosomal RNA". It matches the Rfam family "Bacterial small subunit ribosomal RNA", at positions 524 to 776 of the family's 1533-position model. The record is from RNAcentral.
UACGGGGGGGGCAAGCGUUGUUCGGAAUUACUGGGCGUAAAGGGCCAGUAGGCGGCCAACUAAGUCCGACGUGAAAGCCCGGGGCUUAACCCCGGGUCUGCAUUCGAUACGGGCAGGCUGGAGUGUGGUAGGGGAGAUCGGAAUUCCUGGUGUAGCGGUGAAAUGCGCAAAUAUCAGGAGGAACACCGGUGGCGAAGGCGGAUCUCUGGGCCAUUACUGACGCUGAGGAGCGAAAGCGUGGGGAGCGAACAGG